RNAcentral lists this ribosomal RNA (406 nucleotides) under uncultured bacterium. RNAcentral's name for it is "partial 16S ribosomal RNA". It matches the Rfam family "Bacterial small subunit ribosomal RNA", at positions 30 to 526 of the family's 1533-position model. The record is from RNAcentral.
AUUGAACGCUGGCGGCAGGCCUAAUACAUGCAAGUCGAGCGAGCGGCGGACGGGUGAGUAAUGGCUGGGAAACUGCCUGAUGGAGGGGGCAAACUACUGGAAACGGUAGAUAAUACCGCAUACCAUCAGAUGUGCCCAGAUGGGAUUAGCUAGUAGGUGGGGUAAUGGCUCACCAAGGCGACGAUCCCUAGCUGGUCUGAGAGGAUGACCGGCCACACUGGAACUGAGACACGGUCCAGACUCCUACGGGAGGCAGCAGUGGGGAAUCUUGCACAAUGGGCGCAAGCCUGAUGCAGCCAUGCCGCGUGUGUGAAGAAGGUCUUCGGGUUGUAAAGCUCUUUUAGUAGGGAAGCGUUACUCGCAGAAGAAGCAACGGCUAACUCCGUGCCAGCAGCCGCGGUAAUAC